UGGGGGAUAUUGCACAAUGGGCGAAAGCCUGAUGCAGCGACGCCGCGUGGGGGAUGAAGGCUUUCGGGUUGUAAACCUCUUUCGCUAUCGAACAAGGCCCGCUUAGGGUGGGUUGAGGGUAGGUGGAGAAGAAGCGCCGGCUAACUACGUGCCAGCAGCCGCGGUAAUACGUAGGGCGCGAGCGUUGUCCGGAAUUGUUGGGCGUAAAGGGCUUGUAGGCGGCUUGUUGCGCCUGCUGUGAAAACGCGGGGCUUAACUUCGCGCGUGCAGUGGGUACGGGCAGGCUUGAGUGUGGUAGGGGUGACUGGAAUUCCAGGUGUAGCGGUGGAAUGCGCAGAUAUCUGGGGGAACACCGAUGGCGAAGGCAGGUCACUGGGCCAUUACUGACGCUGAGGAGCGAAAGCAUGGGUAGCGAACAGG
This 420-nucleotide ribosomal RNA is filed under the name bacterium. RNAcentral's name for it is "partial 16S ribosomal RNA". It matches the Rfam family "Bacterial small subunit ribosomal RNA", at positions 355 to 776 of the family's 1533-position model. The record is from RNAcentral.